GUGGGGGAUAUUGCACAAUGGGGGAAACCCUGAUGCAGCGAUGCCGCGUGAAUGAAGACGGCCUUCGGGUUGUAAAGUUCUGUCGCAGGGGACGAAACUGACGGUACCCUGCAAGAAAGCUCCGGCUAACUACGUGCCAGCAGCCGCGGUAAUACGUAGGGAGCAAGCGUUGUCCGGAAUUACUGGGUGUAAAGGGAGCGUAGGCGGGAGGAUAAGUUGAAUGUGAAAUCUACAGGCUUAACCUGUAGCUGCGUUCAAAACUGUUCUUCUUGAGUGAAGUAGAGGCAGGCGGAAUUCCUAGUGUAGCGGUGAAAUGCGUAGAUAUUAGGAGGAACACCAGUGGCGAAGGCGGCCUGCUGGGCUUUUACUGACGCUGAGGCUCGAAAGCGUGGGUAGCAAACAGG
Molecule: ribosomal RNA, 404 nt
Filed under: uncultured bacterium
Lineage: Bacteria
Description: bacterial SSU rRNA
Rfam family: Bacterial small subunit ribosomal RNA
Source: RNAcentral